RNAcentral lists this ribosomal RNA (306 nucleotides) under uncultured bacterium. Its description in RNAcentral is "partial 16S ribosomal RNA". It matches the Rfam family "Bacterial small subunit ribosomal RNA", at positions 505 to 808 of the family's 1533-position model. The record is from RNAcentral.
GACAGCAGCAGCCGCGGUAAUACGUAGGUCCCGAGCGUUGUCCGGAUUUAUUGGGCGUAAAGCGAGCGCAGGCGGUUAGAUAAGUCUGAAGUUAAAGGCUGUGGCUUAACCAUAGUACGCUUUGGAAACUGUUUAACUUGAGUGCAAGAGGGGAGAGUGGAAUUCCAUGUGUAGCGGUGAAAUGCGUAGAUAUAUGGAGGAACACCGGUGGCGAAGGCGACUCUCUGGUCUGUAACUGACGCUGAGGAGCGAAAGCGUGGGGAGCAAACAGGAUUAGAUACCCCAGUAGUCCCUGUCUCUUAUACA